RNAcentral lists this ribosomal RNA (402 nucleotides) under uncultured bacterium. Its description in RNAcentral is "partial 16S ribosomal RNA". It matches the Rfam family "Bacterial small subunit ribosomal RNA", at positions 360 to 774 of the family's 1533-position model. The record is from RNAcentral.
AAUCUUGCGCAAUGGGCGAAAGCCUGACGCAGCCACGCCGCGUGCGGGAAGAAGGCCUUCGGGUCGUAAACCGCUUUCAGCAGGGAAGAAGCGAGAGUGACGGUACCUGCAGAAGAAGCCCCGGCCAACUACGUGCCAGCAGCCGCGGUAAUACGUAGGGGGCGAGCGUUGUCCGGAAUCAUUGGGCGUAAAGCGCAUGUAGGCGGUUACGUAAGUCGGAUGUGAAAUCCCGAGGCUUAACUUCGGAACUGCAUCCGGUACUGCGUGGCUUGAGGAAGGUAGAGGAGAGUGGAAUUCCCGGUGUAGCGGUGGAAUGCGCAGAUAUCGGGAGGAACACCUGCGGCGAAGGCGGCUCUCUGGGCCUUUCCUGACGCUGAGAUGCGAAAGCGUGGGUAGCGAACA